This 768-nucleotide unclassified non-coding RNA is filed under the name Zea mays. RNAcentral describes it as "misc RNA Zm00001eb382250". The record is from RNAcentral. Lineage: Eukaryota; Viridiplantae; Streptophyta; Magnoliopsida; Poales; Poaceae.
CUUCUCCAGGGGAUUGCUCAGCUACCUGGUGUCUUCCUCCCUGCGCUCUUUCCCCAGUCUGUGCGCCCUCGUUCCCUCUGCUGGCUCGCCCCUUCCCCUGCCGAGCAGCUCGCCGCGCCCAGGCGAGUUCACCCCUGCGCGCUCCUCUCCGUCGAGCUCCCUGCGCAGCGGCUUCCUUUCCCCGCUCCAGCUCCAGCUUCUUCCCUGGGCCGCCGCGUCCCCCUACUUUUCCAUGGCCGAGCGUCCUCUUCAUCUCCCAGGUCGACCUCCUCCUGCUCUCAGCGUCCUUCCUCUGCUCGCCCAGCCCCUUCUCCUGCCGUGACCCCGCCUUGGUCCCAUGGCGCUCGGCUCCUUCCGGAUCCAGGAACGGUCGCUGGUGUCUUCUCCAAGGCGUUUGUCUCCCUAUGCGCGCUCUCUCUUUGCUUCUCCCUUCUCUGCCCGGUCGCCCCAGCUUCCAUGGCUGCUUGCAAAGUCCCUCUGUUGGCCACGCAGACCUCCUGGCCGCGGGCGGCUCUGGCCCAGGUCGCCGUUGCGCCCUCCCCAAGUUGCCACGUCAUCGUGGCUGGUGUUCACUUACGUUGGAUCUUUUAUGGGCUUGGCCCAUUUAUUGAAUAAACUCUAUUGUGUGUAAUGGUGGAGAAUACCAAUAUUACCACAUUGGAAGUCCAAGGGUCUUUUGCCUUGACUUAUAUGGUGAUAUUUAUUCCACUUAACUUGAGAAGUCAAGAAAUGGACAAGGGUGUGGCGCGCCGCCGGUCGGGCCGGGAC